UAGUCUGGGAUACCACUUGGAAACAGGUGCUAAUACCGGAUAAGAAAGCGGAUCGCAUGAUCAGCUUUUAAAAGGCGGCGUAAGCUGUCGCUAUGGGAUGGCCCGCGGUGCAUUAGCUAGUUGGUAAGGUAAAGGCUUACCAAGGCGAUGAUGCAUAGCCGAGUUGAGAGACUGAUCGGCCACAUUGGGACUGAGACACGGCCCAAACUCCUACGGGAGGCAGCAGGC
Molecule: ribosomal RNA, 228 nt
Filed under: uncultured Lactobacillus sp.
Lineage: Bacteria; Bacillati; Bacillota; Bacilli; Lactobacillales; Lactobacillaceae
Description: partial 16S ribosomal RNA
Rfam family: Bacterial small subunit ribosomal RNA
Source: RNAcentral